UCCUUUUAUUGCUGCAUUUCUAUACAAGAAACAUGCCUUGUGUGACUGCUGGAUGUCAGAACCCAUGGUUAUGAAGAUAAGUAGUGCACUGCUGAGCUGGAGGGACUCCCAGUACUGUACGGCAAGGCCAUAAUGGAGAUUUCUCAAGCACGUACCCUGUGACUGUCACUUCACUAAAAAUCAGAAACUCAAACAUGGAACUGGAUGCUGGUUCUGUCCUCAAGAAGCUCAGAGUCUUUCAGAAAAAGGGGAGCUGUGAGACAAAUUACCAAGUGCAAGUUCAGAAGCCUUGCGUUUGUGGCAGCGGCUGUAAAGGUCUUUGUUGCUGUUGCUGCCAUGUUAAUGACCCAGCUUGGGGCGCUGCCGCCGCCGCCGGCCGCUUCUUCCAAAGAAAACAAAUCAAAUCUGCCCACACUGAUAAAACUCCAUGAGUCAUUGACCCUCAACAAGCGGAGACAUUCAUCUUCAGCUACAAGUGUGUUUAUAGAGUGGGGGUAAUAUUGUGAGGAAGCUUUUAUAGCACCUGGACAGCAGUCUGCAAUGGCCGUGUCCCUCAGACCUUUCUACAGAAGACCUCCUACAUCUGGACAUGACUCUGUUCUCUCCCAGUCCUUAGUAAGGAUCACCCCUGAGAUAGCAUGAGACAGAUGCCCCAGCCUCCUGCUGUCAUGAAAAACUCCCACCUGAAUGCCAGCAAAGCAGAGUCCUGAGGAGAGAUGAUCCACAUUGGGCCCAAAAGAAGAUUUAUUGAAAUGAUUGAUGUUUCUGUUCUUUUUCUGUUUCUCUUUGUAAGAAUCUCAUAGUCAGGACCUAAAAUGGUGACAAAUAUGCACAUU
Symphalangus syndactylus (siamang) is the source of this 836-nucleotide long non-coding RNA. RefSeq lists it as uncharacterized. Lineage: Eukaryota; Metazoa; Chordata; Mammalia; Primates; Hylobatidae. The record is from RefSeq and is a predicted model, not a curated record.